GAUGAACGCUGGCGGCGUGCCUAAUACAUGCAAGUCGAGCGAACGGACGAGAAGCUUGCUUCUCUGAUGUUAGCGGCGGACGGGUGAGUAACACGUGGAUAACCUACCUAUAAGACUGGGAUAACUUCGGGAAACCGUAGCUAAUACCGGAUAAUAUUUUGAACCGCAUGGUUCAAAAGUGAAAGACGGUCUUGCUGUCACUUAUAGAUGGAUCCGCGCUGCAUUAGCUAGUUGGUAAGGUAACGGCUUACCAAGGCAACGAUGCAUAGCCGACCUGAGAGGGUGAACGGACACACUGGAACUGAGACACGGUCCAGACUCCUACGGGAGGCAGCAGUAGGGAAUCUUCCGCAAUGGGCGAAAGCCUGACGGAGCAACGCCGCGUGAGUGAUGAAGGUCUUCGGAUCGUAAAACUCUGUUAUUAGGGAAGAACAUAUGUGUAAGUAACUGUGCACAUCUUGACGGUACCUAAUCAGAAAGCCACGGCUAACUACGUG
This 497-nucleotide ribosomal RNA is filed under the name uncultured bacterium. RNAcentral's name for it is "partial 16S ribosomal RNA". It matches the Rfam family "Bacterial small subunit ribosomal RNA", at positions 28 to 507 of the family's 1533-position model. The record is from RNAcentral.